RNAcentral lists this ribosomal RNA (825 nucleotides) under Aromatoleum tolulyticum. Its description in RNAcentral is "bacterial SSU rRNA". It matches the Rfam family "Bacterial small subunit ribosomal RNA", at positions 668 to 1495 of the family's 1533-position model. Lineage: Bacteria; Pseudomonadati; Pseudomonadota; Betaproteobacteria; Rhodocyclales; Rhodocyclaceae. The record is from RNAcentral.
UUCACACGUAUAGCAGAAAGUGUGAGAGAUGUAGAAGCACCCCUAUCGAGAAGGCAUCUCCGUCGUAUGAUAGAGACUCUCAUGCGAGAGAGUGUGGAGAGCACACGAUAUGAGAUCCCGGUGGUAGUACACGCUAAAAGAUGAUGUGGAAUAGUCGUUCGUAGUGGUAACUCUCAGAGUGACGCAGCUAACGCGUGAAGUCGACCGCGGGGGGAGUACGGUCACAAGAUUAAAACUAAAAAAAUUGAGGGGGACCCGCACAAGCGGUGGCAUGAUGUGGAUUUUUCGAUGCAACGCGAAAAACCUUACCUACCCUUGACAUGCCAGGAAUCCUUGAGAGAUCAGGGAGUGCUUUCGGGACAGGGGACACAGGUGGUGCAUGGUUGUCGUCAGCUCGUGUCGUGAGAUGUUUGGGUUUAAGUCCCCGCAAACGAGCGCAACCCCUUGUCCUUAAUUGCCAGCAUUUAGUUUGGGCACUUUUAGGGAGACUGCCGGUGACAAACCGGAGGAAGGUGGGGAUGACGUCAAGUCCUCAUCCCCUUUAUGAGUAGGGCUUCACACGUCAUACAAUGGUCGUACAAGAGGCAGCCAAGCCGCGAGGGGGAGCUAUUCUAGAAAGCCGAUUCAGUCCGGAUGCUAGUUGCAACUCGACUACGGAAGUGGAAUCGCUAGUAAUGCAGAUCAGCAUGCCACGGUGAAUACGUUCCCGGGUCUGUACACACCGCCCGUCCACCCAUAGAGUGGCAUCACCAGAAGUGGGUAGGGUAACCUUAGGGAGGGCGCUCACCACGGUGAGACAGAUGACUGGGGUGAAGUCGAAUCAAG